AUAACAUAGUACUUUAAUAAACCGUUUACAACUUGUAAAUUGUUUGGCCAAGAGACGUUACAAUAUGAAUAGCAUAUGAAUUAACAUAAAAUUUUGGGAGACGUGAGAAAUAAACGACUGUUAUAAUAUUACGUACGUUGUGAUUGUUGACUUUAACAGAAAAGAACCAUCGAUCGCGCAGUGGUUUGAAGACGGGCAGUUUUAUGUAGUGAUUUUAUGUACUUUCAAUAAUGAUAUUUUUAAGGUGCCCAGUAUGCGACCGUAUCCGGAAUUUUAGAAGCGCUACACGUAUUGUACUCGAAGCAUAUAAAGCGAAUGACUUUCGAGUCGAUCGUUGCGGACAGUGAUAUUAUUUCUCUAAAUUAACGGCACGUAAAGAGCGGACAAGUAAGUCGGGCGUUUAAAGGCGAACACGUCGUUGAAUUCGGAACAGUUUCGUUUAAUCGUACCGAAAAAAGGAUAUUGGUAAAUUUCGUCUUGAUAACGCACGUGAGGCCAGGGGCUUACAACCUUCGUGUCCACCACGCACGUGUUGCUAAAAACAAUAGCAAUUGGAGGGUUACAACAACCGAAAUCGCCCCCCGGCUACGCCGCUGAAUAGGUACGCUGCAAAAUUGCAUUCGACGUUACAACACA
This is a non-coding RNA of Cinara cedri, 636 nucleotides long. NCBI's taxonomy places the organism in Eukaryota, Metazoa, Arthropoda, Insecta, Hemiptera, Aphididae. The record is from the annotation of a GenBank genome assembly.